AGCCUGAUGCAGCCAUGCCGCGUGUGUGAAGAAGGCCUUCGGGUUGUAAAGCACUUUCAGUCAGGAGGAAAGGUUAGUAGUUAAUACCUGCUAGCUGUGACGUUACUGACAGAAGAAGCACCGGCUAACUCCGUGCCAGCAGCCGCGGUAAUACGGAGGGUGCGAGCGUUAAUCGGAAUUACUGGGCGUAAAGCGUACGCAGGCGGUUUGUUAAGCGAGAUGUGAAAGCCCCGGGCUCAACCUGGGAACUGCAUUUCGAACUGGCAAACUAGAGUGUGAUAGAGGGUGGUAGAAUUUCAGGUGUAGCGGUGAAAUGCGUAGAGAUCUGAAGGAAUACCGAUGGCGAAGGCAGCCACCUGGGUCAACACUGACGCUCAUGUACGAAAGCGUGGGGAGCAAACAGGAUUAGAUACCCUGGUAGUCCACGCCGUAAACGAUGUCUACUAGAAGCUCGGAACCUCGGUUCUGUUUUUCAAAGCUAACGCAUUAAGUAGACCGCCUGGGGAGUACGGCCGCAAGGUUAAAACUCAAAUGAAUUGACGGGGGCCCGCACAAGCGGUGGAGCAUGUGGUUUAAUUCGAUGCAACGCGAAGAACCUUACCUACACUUGACAUACAGAGAACUUACCAGAGAUGGUUUGGUGCCUUCGGGAACUCUGAUACAGGUGCUGCAUGGCUGUCGUCAGCUCGUGUUGUGAGAUGUUGGGUUAAGUCCCGCAACG
This 721-nucleotide ribosomal RNA is filed under the name Pseudoalteromonas tetraodonis. RNAcentral describes it as "bacterial SSU rRNA". It matches the Rfam family "Bacterial small subunit ribosomal RNA", at positions 380 to 1094 of the family's 1533-position model. The record is from RNAcentral. Lineage: Bacteria; Pseudomonadati; Pseudomonadota; Gammaproteobacteria; Alteromonadales; Pseudoalteromonadaceae.